RNAcentral lists this ribosomal RNA (1396 nucleotides) under Vreelandella venusta. RNAcentral describes it as "bacterial SSU rRNA". It matches the Rfam family "Bacterial small subunit ribosomal RNA", at positions 102 to 1348 of the family's 1533-position model. The record is from RNAcentral. Lineage: Bacteria; Pseudomonadati; Pseudomonadota; Gammaproteobacteria; Oceanospirillales; Halomonadaceae.
ACGGGUGAGUAAUGCAUAGGAAUCUGCCCGGUAGUGGGGGAUAACCUGGGGAAACCCAGGCUAAUACCGCAUACGUCCUACGGGAGAAAGGGGGCUCCGGCUCCCGCUAUUGGAUGAGCCUAUGUCGGAUUAGCUAGUUGGUGAGGUAAUGGCUCACCAAGGCGACGAUAUGUAGCUGGUCUGAGAGGAUGAUCAGCCACAUCGGGACUGAGACACGGCCCGAACUCCUACGGGAGGCAGCAGUGGGGCCAAUAUUGGACAAUGGGCGAAAGCCUGAUCCAGCCAUGCCGCGUGUGUGAAGAAGGCCCUCGGGUUAAAGCACUUUCAGCGAAAGGAAGAAUUCGCCUAGUGGUUAAUACCCACUAGGAAAGACAUCACUCGCAGAAGAAGCACCGGCUAACUCCGUGCCAGCAGCCGCGGUAAUACGGAGGGUGCAAGCGUUAAUCGGAAUUACUGGGCGUAAAGCGCGCCGCGUAGGUGGCUUGAUUUAAGCCGGUUGUGAAAGCCCCGGGCUCAACCUGGGAACGGCAUCCGGAACUGUCAAGCUAGAGUGCAGGAGAGGAAGGUAGAAUUCCCGGUGUAGCGGUGAAAUGCGUAGAGAUCGGGAGGAAUACCAGUGGCGAAGGCGGCCUUAAGCCGGUUGUGAAAGCCCCGGGCUCAACCUGGGAACGGCAUCCGGAACUGUCAAGCUUAGAGUGCAGGAGAGGAAGGUAGAAUUCCCGGUGUAGCGGUGAAAUGCGUAGAGAUCGGGAAAUACCAGUGGCGAAGGCGGCCUUCUGGACUGACACUGACACUGAGGUGCGAAAGCGUGGGUAGCAAACAGGAUUAGAUACCCUGGUAGUCCACGCCGUAAACGAUGUCGACCAGCCGUUGGGUGCCUAGCGCACUUUGUGGCGAAGUUAACGCGAUAAGUCGACCGCCUAGGAGUACGGCCGCAAGGUUAAAACUCAAAUGAAUUGACGGGGGCCCGCACAAGCGGUGGAGCAUGUGGUUUAAUUCGAUGCAACGCGAAGAACCUUACCUACUCUUGACAUCCUGCGAACUUGUGAGAGAUCACUUGGUGCCUUCGGGAACGCAGAGACAGGUGCUGCAUGGCUGUCGUCAGCUCGUGUUGUGAAAUGGUUGGGUUAAGUCCCGUAACGAGCGCAACCCUUGUCCUUAUUUGCCAGCGCGUAAUGGCGGGAACUCUAAGGAGACUGCCGGUGACAAACCGGAGGAAGGUGGGGACGACGUCAAGUCAUCAUGGCCCUUACGAGUAGGGCUACACACGUGCUACAAUGGCCGGUACAAAGGGUUGCGAGCUCGCGAGAGUCAGCUAAUCCCGAAAAGCCGGUCUCAGUCCGGAUCGGAGUCUGCAACUCGACUCCGUGAAGUCGGAAUCGCUAGUAAUCGUGAA